CCUACGGGGGGCUGCAGUAGGGAAUAUUGGACAAUGGGCGCAAGCCUGAUCCAGCCAUCCCGCGUGAAGGAUUAAGGCCCUCUGGGUUGUAAACUUCUUUUCUUUGGGAAUAAAAACUCCGAUUCAUCGGAGCUUGAAGGUACCAGAGGAAUAAGCACCGGCUAACUCCGUGCCAGCAGCCGCGGUAAUACGGAGGGUGCAAGCGUUAUCGGGAUUCACUGGGGCGAAGGGGUGCUUGUAAGUCAUUGGAGAAAGCCCGGAGCUCAACUCCGGAACUGCCAGUGAUACUGCUUAGCUUGAAUCAGGUCGAGGUGGAUGGAAUAUUACAUGUAGCGGUGAAAUGCUUAGAUAUGUAAUAGAACACCGAUUGCGAAGGCAGUUCACUAGGCCUGUAUUGACACUGAGGCACGAAAGCGUGGGGAUCAAACAGGAUUAGAUACCCCUGUAGUC
RNAcentral lists this ribosomal RNA (450 nucleotides) under uncultured bacterium. Its description in RNAcentral is "partial 16S ribosomal RNA". It matches the Rfam family "Bacterial small subunit ribosomal RNA", at positions 338 to 795 of the family's 1533-position model. The record is from RNAcentral.